CAGCAGCCGCGGGAAUAAGGAGGAUCCAAGCGUUAUCCGGAAUCAUUGGGUUUAAAGGGUCCGUAGGCGGUCUUGUAAGUCAGUGGUGAAAGCCCAUCGCUCAACGGUGGAACGGCCAUUGAUACUGCAGGAAUUGAAUUAUUGGGAAGUAACUAGAAUAUGUAGUGUAGCGGUGAAAUGCUUAGAGAUUACAUGGAAUACCAAUUGCGAAGGCAGGUUACUACCAAUUGAUUGACGCUGAUGGACGAAAGCGUGGGUAGCGAACAGGAUUAGAUACCCGAGUAGUCCCUGUCUCUUAUAC
Molecule: ribosomal RNA, 301 nt
Filed under: uncultured bacterium
Lineage: Bacteria
Description: partial 16S ribosomal RNA
Rfam family: Bacterial small subunit ribosomal RNA
Source: RNAcentral